CUUGAUCGACCCCAGCCACAGCGGCCGGUCGCGGCCCUGCCCAUACGUCGCCAGAAUCGCCUGCGCCUC
This 69-nucleotide antisense RNA is filed under the name Sinosporangium album. RNAcentral describes it as "Streptosporangineae bacterium 6014 ASpks TB sRNA". It matches the Rfam family "ASpks TB sRNA". The record is from Rfam by way of RNAcentral. Lineage: Bacteria; Bacillati; Actinomycetota; Actinomycetes; Streptosporangiales; Streptosporangiaceae.